UACAGAGGUGGCAAGCGUUGUUCGGAAUUACUGGGCGUAAAGGGCGAGUAGGCGGCCCACUAAGUCAGACGUGAAAUCCCCCGGCUUAACCUGGGAACUGCGUCUGAUACUGGAGGGCUAGAGUAUGGGAGAGGGAUGUGGAAUUCCAGGUGUAGCGGUGAAAUGCGUAGAUAUCUGGAGGAACACCGGUGGCGAAGGCGGCAUCCUGGACCAUAACUGACGCUGAAUCGCGAAAGCUAGGGGAGCAAACGGG
Molecule: ribosomal RNA, 253 nt
Filed under: uncultured Acidobacteriota bacterium
Lineage: Bacteria; Pseudomonadati; Acidobacteriota
Description: uncultured Acidobacteria bacterium partial 16S ribosomal RNA
Rfam family: Bacterial small subunit ribosomal RNA
Source: RNAcentral